GACGAACGCUGGCGGCGUGCUUAACACAUGCAAGUCGAACGGAAAGGCCCUGCUUUUGUGGGGUGCUCGAGUGGCGAACGGGUGAGUAACACGUGAGUAACCUGCCCUUGACUUUGGGAUAACUUCAGGAAACUGGGGCUAAUACCGGAUAGGAGCUCCUGCUGCAUGGUGGGGGUUGGAAAGUUUCGGCGGUUGGGGAUGGACUCGCGGCUUAUCAGCUUGUUGGUGGGGUAGUGGCUUACCAAGGCUUUGACGGGUAGCCGGCCUGAGAGGGUGACCGGCCACAUUGGGUCUGAGAGACGGCCCAGACUCCUACGGGAGGCAGCAGUGGGGAAUAUUGCACAAUGGGCGGAAGCCUGAUGCAGCAACGCCGCGUGCGGGAUGACGGCCUUCGGGUUGUAAACCGCUUUCGCCUGUGACGAAGCGUGAGUGACGGUAAUGGGUAAAGAAGCACCGGCUAACUACGUG
Molecule: ribosomal RNA, 468 nt
Filed under: uncultured bacterium
Lineage: Bacteria
Description: partial 16S ribosomal RNA
Rfam family: Bacterial small subunit ribosomal RNA
Source: RNAcentral